CCCCCAAUGAGUUGUUCCGCUCCUUUUCUCCGUCACCAAUCACUGAGCAGUAGCGAGAUAAAAGUAACAGGAUAAUAAUGUCAGGCAAUGCUUUUGCGCGCUUGUUCUUCUGUUUCAACUUUGUAUUGCAAGCAGAUUUCCCUAAAUCACUGAGCCUUCUAGAUCAAGUGAUUACAACUGGCAGAAGUUCCAGACCAACAGUUGGAGACAAGAGGGCAUCAGGAAGAGAAAGGGAAAUGCCAACAAGAGAUCAGAUCUUCUCACCUGGAGCAUUUGUAAGAUGGGGCAACAAGCCAAGAUAGUAUAUGACGCUAUUGUAAUUAUAUGAAUCUUGCGCCUUUCCUCAGCAUGUUUUAUUUCAUUGCUUUAUUGUAUCAUUUUCUUUUAUAUUUUGUUUUAAUCUUUGUAAGAUACCCAAAAUCAUAAAUAAAUAACAUCUGUUAAUACAGAUAAUCUUA
Crotalus tigris (Tiger rattlesnake) is the source of this 458-nucleotide long non-coding RNA. RefSeq lists it as uncharacterized. NCBI's taxonomy places the organism in Eukaryota, Metazoa, Chordata, Lepidosauria, Squamata, Viperidae. The record is from RefSeq and is a predicted model, not a curated record. The transcript has 3 exons.